ACACAUCUCUACUCCCACUCACUUCCUGUAGCCUCCCCCUCGCCUCUGACUUUCUUUAAAUGCAAUGUUUUAGGUCAUUCUUCUUGUCCAGCUUCUCUGUUAAAUUAAAAACACCCUAGUGCUUGUACAUUUAGCUGAAUCAAGCCAGACGCUGUAUUUUAUUUUUAUAACUGAAUUCCUGUGAGAUAAAAAUCUCAUUUUCCUUAGUAGGCUGUAAUCAGCACUCACAGGGAUGUGGUUUCCAACUGCCCCAGCUCGUGCUUCCUUAUGAAGCUCCGCUGAGAAAUGAACUUGGCUCCUGUUCAGGUUUAAAGGGCCCGAGGCCGGUCACACAUUGCUCACUCAUACACACACACACACACACACACACACACACACACACACAGAGGAUGUGCACACAAAGACCAUUAUACAUGUAUGCACACACACAUGGACACACGUUCUUGUCCAGGGAAGCCCCUACGGUUCCACACACGAAGAGCAAAAAAGUAUUCCCUGAGACAGACAGACACACAAUCAGUACCCAGUGUCAUUCUUCCCCUUUCCAGGAGGAAAAUAGGUGAAUAAGUCAAGCUGAAAGCUGCUUCCGAAAAGACUGUUUUAAACUAGCAGGCAGGCCAGCGUUAUGCAACUCAUGGCUAGGUUCAUUAAAGGAAUCGAGGUUUGCCGACUGCACAAAUGUUCCCCUGCCUGCCUCCGCCCCAGCCCCUCCACCCCACCCUGCUCUGAUUCAUGAACUAGUUUUCAGAUUCAUGAAUCACUCGGGAGCCAGCAAGAGAAAAAUGAGUAGUAUUGAUCUCAUUUCAAUUGAAAUGGGCUCAUUAAGGCCAUGCUGGCUGUGGACGGCCUUGCACGACAAGACGCUGGCCGGCGUCCGAGGUCUGCAGGCGGGCGCCCGAGCCUGCGGGUGGGACAGGACUCCUUGGGUGAAGCCUCCGCGGAGGGUGCCCCUUCUUAUUAUUAUUAAAUGGACACAAUAUGAUCUACUGGUACAAGGGACUCUGGCUGCACUCCGCAGCCCUCGUUGGGCAGGCCGGUUUUCUUCUUUUUGUGUGGCCCGUUUAUUUUGUUAUUUUUUUUCACAGUUAAUGGAAUCUCAGUGCAGUUUCGCUCCUGGAUUUCUGGUGACUCUUAAGGACUACCUGAAGUAGGAAUUCACCUUCUGAAACAACUGGCAUAUCUUGGGGUUUGUUUGUUUUAACGCAAACAAGGAGCUUUUUACUCUUCUCCCUCCAGACCUCUGCCUUGCCACCCUCCUUGUACCGUCUUCAGCGAGAAGGACUAGGGGCUAGGAACCAUCUAGACUUGGAGUAAUCUAAUUUAUGUGGGGAAAAUUUCUCCACCAACUGGAUGGCUGCCUUCACGUGGACACCGGUUUUAUAAAACCACUCUUUCCCUUCCCAAAUGAGAAUAAUGGUUGAGGAAGCAGCAACAGAGCCUGGGUGCAGAGACAUCACAGAGGGAGGCGUUAGGCCCCUGGGGCAGAUGUCGCAGAGGCCGCCCACGAAGGAGCUCUCUUCUCUCCCACUGCCUUUCCUCUCCCCACUUGAGUUCCAGCUCCCUCUUGACACGAGCUCCCCUCCCCUUUCCAGCCCUUCGCCUUACACUUGUCCUCAUGUCUGGGGAAUCUUUUCCUCUUCCUCUCUACAACACCGGUUGGGCACCGUGUGUGAGCAGAUCAGGAGAGGCUAUUAGCUUUGAUUUGCAGCUUCCAAAUGGAUUUUUGCAUGGUUUCUUCCUCCAGCUCCUUCCACCCCCACGCCAGCCCUGGGAGAUUAAAAACAAUGGACUGGACACAUGCUUUUCAGAAAACCCAAAAAGCUGUCAACCAACACCACAGAAGGAUUCCAUCCUAAGAGGCAUACUUUUGGAUCCAAGAGUUUAGAAAUGAGAUUCUUAUCCAUUGACUUCAGAGACACCGUCAUGCAUUAGACGCAUUUCCCUUGGCAGGGAUUCGACGAAGUGACCUUACUCCCCUUUGUUCCUGCAGUGCCCGGAGAAACUGGGAAUGACCCAAAGAAGGAAAAGGAAGAACGCUACAUCCUCUGCCUGAAGUGACGGUCUCAGCCAGCCCAUGAGCCUUGACAGCGCAUUGUUGGAGUUUGGAAUCAACUGCCGCCUUUUCAUGGAUAACUUCCUGAAUCUGCAGUUAAAAUUUCAUUUUUUUCUGGGUGCCCCGAGUAAAACACCCUCUGUUAAAGAUUUAUCACUUCCGCUGUAUUUCAGCUGCCUGUGGGCAUCCCUCAAUGCCCCAGUGCUGAACAGACUGUCACACCGAAGGUGCUCACGGGCCUGCCGGACGAUUGAAGUUGUACAACCUGCAGACAGAGGAGCUAAGUGUCCACACGGCCCUCCCUGCUCUUUCCAUUCUAUGUAGCUAUCUUGCUGGCACCAUUUACUCCUUUCUUUCUUUCUUUUUUUUUCUUUUCUUGAGACAGAGUCUCUAGCUGUCGCCAGGCUGGAGUGCAAUAAUGGCAUGAUCUCGGCUCACUGCAACCUCUGCCUCCCGGGUUCAAGUGAUUCUCCUGCCUCAGCCUCCCGAGUAGCUGGGAUUACAGGCAUGCGCUACCACGCCCAGCUAGUUUUUCUAUUUUUAGUAGAAACAGGGUUUCACUAUGUUCACCCGGAUGGUCUCGAUCUGUUGACCUCGUGACCCGCCUGCCUCAGCCUUCCAAAGUGCUGGGAUUACAGACGUGAGCCAUGGUGCCCAGCCACUCCUUUCUUACUCCUUUUUAGUCCAGUGAAAUCUAGCUAGCUUCUCCCUUACCCGUAAUUGUUUCAUUGUAACUUAUUCUUGCUGAGAUUACUAGAGCUAUAUUUAGACCUCCUAAAUAGUAUCAUCCACUGCCUACAGUCCUUUGGACUGUAUUCAGUUCGUGUGACCCCUCCCUCGCAUGGAAACUCUCUCUUGCCUUAGUUUUUAUGGCAUGACAGCCUUAUGCUUGCCUUCCUGUCGCAGAGCUCGUGUAUCCAGCAAUUAUCGGUGCUCCCAAGGUUCCUUGUUCUUCCCCCUUCAGAGGUCUGUGCUCCUCAACAACUCUGACCCAGCCGUGGUUCCAACAACCAUGCCAAUGUGAAGGACCCUAGAUUUCCAUCUCCAGCAAGGACCUCUUUCCAGAGUGUUGGAUGGGUAUUCCCAUUAACCUACUAGACAGCUGCAUGUGGAUCUCUCAGAGCCCCUUUAAACUCAGAUCAUCUUCCCACCAAAAUCUGUCCUCCCCUCAACUCAGGACAAAGACCUCACUGUAGGAGAACAAAGGAAGUGGAAAUCUAACAGGUGGCAGUUCACCUACAAAACCUUAGUGUCAUGCAAGAGGGCUGUCCUGUGCGGUCAUUCUCAGUAUUGAGCCAAUGUAAUGAAGAAGCGUGUAGUGUGUGGUGGGCAUUUUCCAUUAUGUUUUGGUGGCCCCACAUGGCUGGACUUCCCAGGAGCUUCCCAGAGCUCCUGCUUUGGUUAAUGGUGAGCAUUUAGGCCAGACGGCCUUGCAAAUAUCUUUCCUACAUGGGACACACUGUUGCAGCCUUGCUCUAAGGCAUAGCCUGCCUUUUUUUUUUUUUUUGGUAUGAUAAAAGAAAUAUAGAAUAUUAAUAUAUUCUCCCUGGCUUUCAAAGAUUCCCAGUGCAUUUUUCUAAUACAGCAGCUAUUUACAUUAUAUUUUCUUCUUGAUUCAUCAUUUUUGAAUGAGGCCUUGUGGGUUUGAGGGCUGGUGAGAAAUAGUGCCGGGGAGAGGGUGAGGAAGAUUGCUUUAGAUGAGAGGCACGACUGUAAAUCUUGAAGUAAAAUUAUCUUUGUGAACUAAACGGUACCUGAAUUUUAUUCAAAUGAAAAGCUGGGCAAUUGAGUGUGAUUUAAAAUGAUCACUGUUCUAUACUUCAAAUGCACUGAAACAGGUUUAUUUUGCAAUAACCUGGAGAACAUAUGCAAAUUGAAGUUAUAUUGUUUAAUCUGAAGAAGUGAAGGCUGACUGAAUAAUCGGACUGCAAGGAUAUGAAGUAUUAUGUUGAGGAUAUAUACCACGAUUUACCAUUAAAUAGUACACAAAAUUAAAAUGGACUUAAAAUGCUCAGGAAAUAUGUAUUGUUAGAUAAUAGAAAAGUUAAAAUUUCUAAAAAUAGCUAAUGCUUCAUGGAUUUUUAAAGUUUUGUUUUGUUUUGUUUUUUUGUUUUUGAGAUAGGGAGAAGAUACUAGGGGAAAAAAGCAGAUGGAAAACUUCCUUGUGGUUUUUCUGUAGUAGCUUAGAGUCUGUUCUAAGGAGCAGAGAUUUCAGAGUAUGGUCUUGGAAACCUUUGUGUUCUUUGUUUCUUGUAGACGCCACACGCCUCUGUCCCCUGGCCACAGAGGCUGAUUUUGCUGUAUCUGACAUGGGUUUCUUGACCUGCUGGGAAGGCCCAAUGUCUAAUUUCCUGGUCUGCACCCUGCAGAAACCAGUGGAAAUUAAGCAGCGAUCGAUUAUCCUACCCCAUCACACCUUUCCUAGAUCAGAUGAUGCUGGCUGAGGCUUUGAAGUAUUGACAACACACUCUUUUUUCUUUUUACACCUUUUCUUCAGAGGACCUGACUCAUUCCCUGUAAAGGGAGGAAUCACUGCAGAGACACCCCCUGUAGCCACACUGCACCCUUGCAGGGGCUGGGGGACGAGAAGCAGGAUGUUGGUAGUGGUGUUGUUACCUCUCAUGACACGAAUCAGGCCCUUCCACCAUACACUUCAUUGAGGGGAUUCUGAAAUGGGGUCCUAAGGUUGCUCUGCUCUGAGAUGGAGCGUGGAGCACCGCCUCGCACUGUUGCUCUGGGGUUUGUCUUUUGCCUGGGUCUAGCUUAGCAAGGGCAAUGGCAAGAAGGGGUUUGGGAGUCAGGAGACUAUUAAUUCCAAGGGCCAAGGAUUGGCACAUCUUGGAAUAUUCCAGAAGUGUCCGCUCAGAUGGCAAAUAUGGGGACAACGUUACCGGCCCUCCUUCCAGCAAGGAGGCUAAUAUAGACCCACUCACUGCUACCAACCACCAACUCUUGACCCUUGGAAUGAAACAGUCUGUUAACUCCCAAACCCCUUCUUGCCAUUGCCCUUGCUAAGCUAGACCCAGGCAAACGACAGGCCCCAGAGCGACGCUGCAAGGCAGUGCUUCGCGCCACUUUCAUCAGGGAGGUGCCUGUGAGAUUCUGCCUCGUCCCCAUGACCUAGUUCAUGCCCUCGAUAUGCCGGUGAGAUGUGCAGGAGCUUCCUGAAGGGCCGCAUCAUCCAGCCUUUAUUUUUGUACCUCUGUAUGAGUUUUUCUCAACUCCUGCUGUCCAGUAGCCUCACUUAGGGAACCUGUAAAUAAUACCUAUGCUUGGGCCCCACCCAAGACCCAUUAAACUGGAUUAUCUGGGGAGGAAACCUGGCAGUGGUGCUUUUUAAAAAGCUCCCCAGAUGACUUUAGUGUGCAGCCUGGAUUGAGAAUUGCUGGAUCAAUUGCUGGGGGAAGAGAGAGUUCUGUGCCAGCAUAUGAGUGGGUUUUCAUAACACUAAGGAGCCUUACUGUGUGUAGGUGAUACCUACACUUCAACCAGGAGUUCUGACAGAUCAAGGACUAUUGCCCUACCAGCUGGGGAGUGACACGAGAGAGGCAUGGGCAAGGAACCAGUACAGGGAGCCCACUUACCUGGGAGAGCUGUACAAAGUUCACUGCAAAGGGUGAAACCUGAAUUGUUUGCAUUAUGCGUGGGUCUUUGGCAGAUAGAGAUGGGGAGACAGGACAUUUCCGCAGAAAGGACAAUGUGCAGGCGUGAUGCAGCAUGAUUUUUCAGGGGGACCAGAAGGUAAGUGUCAAAAAAGCAGACUCUGGGGCGUCCUUGUCCCUUUCCAGGAGCUGAGACCUGAGCUAGACACCACUGGGAUGUGUCUGGAAGGAAUGAACUGGUGGACACGGAAGCAUUGUCUUCUCAAGGGUGCAGGGUGUGCCUGGAGAUGAGGCUGGAGACAGCAGGAGCCCUGCCAUGGAUGGAAUUCUGCACCACGUUAAUUGGACUUUACCCAGUAAGCUAGAAGUUCUCACCUGGUUCAAGGAUGAGGACCUAUAUUUAAUAAGAAAAAACAAAAUUAUUUCAGACCGUCUUGUAGUAGUAGUAGUAGUUGUCAUGGUACUUUAAGAACCAUUGAAUCAGAAAAUGCAUAUAGACUAACAAAUGACUCAAAAUUUAAUGAUUUUUUAGUGGAUUUUUUUUUUUGUUUUUUGAGACGGAGUCUCACUCAGCUGCCCAGGCUGGAGUGCACUGGUGUGAUCUUGGCUCACUGUAACCUCCGUCCCUCCGGGUUCAAGCAAUUCUCCUGCCUCAGCCUCCCAAGUAGCUGGGAGUACAGGCACGUGCCACCACACCCAGCUGAUUUUUGUAUUUUUAGUAGAGACGGGGUUUCACCAUGUUGGCCUGGCUGGUCUCGAUCUCUUGACCUCGUGAUCCACCUGCCUCAGCCUCCCAAAGUGCUGGGAUUACAGGCAUGAGCCACCACGCCCAGUCUAGUGGAUUUUAAUUUUGAUCACAACAGCAAGGUAUAGGUACUGUAUCUGUUUACAACAUCAAAGGUUAAGAAAUGUUUACCUUUUCUUAUCUUUCUAACAUAAAUCAUGACUGUUUUGAGCUCCUGAUAGUAGAUUAGAGUCUUUCUUAGGCCAGGUGUGGUGGCUCACAUCUAUAAUCCCAGCACUUUGGGAUCAGGCCUAGGCAGGAGGACCGCUUAAGGCCGAGAGUUUGUGACCAGCCUGGGCAACAUAGUGCGAUACCACCUCUAAAGAAAUAAAAAAUUAGCCAGGUGUGGUAGUUCAUGUCUAUAGUCCUAGCUACUUGGGAGGCUGAGAUGGGAGAAGCCCUGUAGCCCAGGAGUUUGAGGCUGCAGUGAGCUAUGAUUGCACCACUGCACUCCAGCCUGGGAGACAGAGUGAGACUUCAUCUCAAAAAAAAAAAAAAAGGAAUAUUCAGUAACAUUUAUUGGUGGUGCUGUUCACUGUGCUUGACACUUUAUUGCCUUAGCAUUUCACUCUCACCACCACCUUAUGAAGU
This 7030-nucleotide long non-coding RNA is filed under the name Homo sapiens (human). Its description in RNAcentral is "non-protein coding lnc-IRF2BP2-2:8". Lineage: Eukaryota; Metazoa; Chordata; Mammalia; Primates; Hominidae. The record is from RNAcentral.